RNAcentral lists this ribosomal RNA (460 nucleotides) under uncultured bacterium. RNAcentral describes it as "partial 16S ribosomal RNA". It matches the Rfam family "Bacterial small subunit ribosomal RNA", at positions 338 to 795 of the family's 1533-position model. The record is from RNAcentral.
CCUACGGGUGGCAGCAGUGAGGAAUAUUGGUCAAUGGACGAGAGUCUGAACCAGCCAAGUAGCGUGAAGGAUGACUGCCCUAUGGGUUGUAAACUUCUUUUAUAUGGGAAUAAAACGUUCCACGUGUGGGAUUUUGUAUGUACCAUAUGAAUAAGGAUCGGCUAACUCCUUGCCAGCAGCCGCUGUAAUACGGAGGAUCCGAGCGUUAUCCGGAGUUAUUGGGGUUAAAGGGAGAGUAGGUGGAUUGUUAAGUCAGUGGUGAAAGUUUGCGGCGAAACCGGAAAAUUGCAGUUGAAACUGGCAGUCUUGAGUACAGUAGAGGUGGGCGGAAUUCGUGGUGUAGCGGUGAAAUGCUUAGAUAUCACGAAGAACUCCGAUUGCGAAGGCAGUUCACUGGACUGCAACUGACACUGAGGCUCGAAAGUGUGGGUAUCAAACAGGAUUAGAUACCCGAGUAGUC